AAGAUAUCAAUAUCUGGAGGUGUGGAUUCAUCUAUUCAAAGAAAAUGCAGUUCUGUAUGCCUAGACACCACUGUCUUGAAGAUGCAUCCUUCAGGAAACAAUGAUUCAUCUGUUGAAUCGAAGUCUACUUUAUUGUCCAGUGAUGUGCUUCACAAAAGAUUCAGUAAUCCAUUGAUUACUUUCAGUUGAACCAAAAAGAAAGAGCAAGUGGAUGAGGCAGAUAUUCCAAAGAAGUCAGUUGAGGGGAUGAAAUUUUCACUAGUCAAAUGGAACAACUACACAUUAGGUGUAAGUGGCUCACCGGAAGGAUCCCCUCAAAGAUGUAACUCAAUAGAUCAGUCGACUGCUCCCGUUAUAUUUAUAGAGGAUCCAAACAUGAGCCCUUUGCUUUUUCAGAGACAAGAUGAGCAAUCUUCCUUGAUUAUGGUUUCUCAAAGGCAUCAGUCCUUUGGCGAUAUUGAAGAAUGCAGCUCAAGUGACAAGAUAUUCUAACAAAAACCAGCAGCAAUCUUCUAAGAUACAACAAAACAUGUAAAAGCCUAAGAAGCAACUGCAACCUUGUUAUUUCUAAGAUACAGGCUGAUUUAGUUGUGUUAUUUUCUCAAAAUGCUUUAAGCGGCGAAAGCUUCUUUUCCUGUAUUCUCUGAUGCUUGUUUUUCCAAGAGCUUGCAAGUCUCAGGAAACAAAGGGCUGAGAUGUUAUGCAUCAAAUCCUUACUAUUUUUAGCAAUGCCCUCAGCAAAAAACAAUUUGGAGUUUCAGUCCUCUGUUUUAAGUGAAAUGAGAGUUUUGUU
RNA transcript from Magnolia sinica, 793 nucleotides. RefSeq lists it as uncharacterized. The transcript is spliced from 2 exons. The record is from RefSeq and is a predicted model, not a curated record. Lineage: Eukaryota; Viridiplantae; Streptophyta; Magnoliopsida; Magnoliales; Magnoliaceae.